RNAcentral lists this long non-coding RNA (1078 nucleotides) under Zostera marina. RNAcentral describes it as "long non-coding RNA (ZMAR_LNC000055)". Lineage: Eukaryota; Viridiplantae; Streptophyta; Magnoliopsida; Alismatales; Zosteraceae. The record is from RNAcentral.
CAAUUUCUUUUUCUAUUUUGCAGCAUUCUAUCGCUACGGUUGGAUAAUAAUUCCAGCACUACGGCUUGAACAUCCAUCGCUACGGUCGAAUCAUAAAACCAAUGCUUUGAAUGGCAAACAAUUCCAACGUUACGGAUGGAUCAUCUGUCGCUACGUCCGGAUUACAAAAUCUAACGCUACGGCUGGGGCAUAAAUCCAAUGCUACGAUUGGAUCAUUCGUCUCUACGGUUGAUUUUCAAAACCCAACGCUAUGGAUGGAUCAUCCGUCGCUAUAGACGGAUCGUAAAUAUCACUCUCCCACACAUAGGGAGGAGGCACUAAUGAUACGCGUCUUAUCACAACAUUUCUUUUUGGGGAUGAAUACUAAUGAUAUAGGAUUAUACAUUUACCUCCGGAAGCUCCCACAAAGCACAAGAACCAAAGGUCUCCACCAGAUAUGAAGCGACGUACAAAAGUUAUCGAUCUUCCUUGUAACAUCGCUGAUUUCAUAGGAACUUCGUCGAUACUAAGAAUGCCGCAUACAUGUGCCAUCGUUUGAGUACUCAGAUAUUCCCUAUAUCAAGUUGGCAACCACACGAGGGUAAUUGUUGGGUUCCAGGGCAUAAUGUUCAGUCACCCUGACCAUCAUAAUGACCAUGGAGCGAUCUCCACCACGGAUUGCAUACUUGAGAACCCUAUAUAAGAGACCCCAUUGACAUAUCCAAGGCAUCAGUUUUUCUCCACUCCAUAGUACACAAGCAGAGCAAUCGCUGAUCCUAUAUAAUAGUCGUUGAUUUCUCACUUAAAACCUUGACGUAGAGCGUGCUUCGUGGAUCUUCGAGCCUCCGGUACAGCAAGACGAUUGUUGGCACCACUGCAAGUACUAGUUGGAUUUUUCUAUUCUCAUCAGUACUAGAUCUGGACCUAGAACUGGAUGGAGAAUUGCCUAAUUUUAAUGUGGGCUUUAACUCAGUUGGGGGCCCAAACUCGGGAGGCAAUGGAAUUAGAUCUAUUCAGCGCAGAAUUAAAAAAGUUAGUAUACUAGAUCAGUUAAAUGAGUUGGACCUUAAUAAGUCGGCUACUCUUGGUCCACAAGGCU